RNAcentral lists this ribosomal RNA (401 nucleotides) under uncultured bacterium. RNAcentral's name for it is "bacterial SSU rRNA". It matches the Rfam family "Bacterial small subunit ribosomal RNA", at positions 975 to 1375 of the family's 1533-position model. The record is from RNAcentral.
CAGGUCUUGACAUCCCACUGACCGGCUUAGAGAUAGGCUUUUCCCCUCGGGGACAGUGGUGACAGGUGGUGCAUGGUUGUCGUCAGCUCGUGUCGUGAGGUGUUGGGUUAAGUCCCGCAACGAGCGCAACCCUUGAUCUUAGUUGCCAGCAUUCAGUUGGGCACUCUAAGGUGACUGCCGGUGAUAAACCGGAGGAAGGUGGGGAUGACGUCAAAUCAUCAUGCCCCUUAUGACCUGGGCUACACACGUGCUACAAUGGACGAUACAAAGGGCUGCAAACCCGCGAGGGGGAGCCAAUCCCAUAAAAUCGUUCUCAGUUCGGAUUGUAGGCUGCAACUCGCCUACAUGAAGCCGGAAUCGCUAGUAAUCGUGGAUCAGCAUGCCACGGUGAAUACGUUCCC